Long non-coding RNA from Sinocyclocheilus rhinocerous, 922 nucleotides. RefSeq lists it as uncharacterized. NCBI's taxonomy places the organism in Eukaryota, Metazoa, Chordata, Actinopteri, Cypriniformes, Cyprinidae. The record is from RefSeq and is a predicted model, not a curated record. The transcript has 3 exons.
UUUUUCCAUCCUGGUUGAACUCUCUAGCGUGACACUAAUAAGUCCAUAGCAUCAUAUAUGCGGCUUAGCAGGGCGCAGGGGGCAUAGCCUAACAAAUGUGUGGAGUCAAUUGGUUUCCCAAGGGGACGCUACUGAGAAGCUGGCUCACCAAGUCCCGACCCAGACUGCUGCUGCUCAUCGCCGGCUUGAAGAGGCCUCAGGUCACCCUCAUGCGCAGGAAAAGGAUGAAACGCACGAAAGUAGCAAAGGCCACGUAAGCGAAGCUGCAGUCGUAUGCCGCAUUUCACUUGAGUCGCUGACACAGAGAGAAGCUCCAUCUGCCGUCGACAUGAACACAGACCCAGAAACAGAGAAAGCAUCUCAGUCGUCUCUGCCAAACAUACGAACUAAUCGCCAAAGCAGAAGCGGCGCAGAGUUUGCUGUGAAAAUGAGGGAUCUUCCACAAAGAUCCAGACCCCCCGACUAAGAUCCGAAGCCUCCCAGUGACAUUUGUUCAUCUUUCUCUCAAAUACACUUCUGUCAUGCUUCUGUUCACUACACAGCGUGUGACAGCACAUUAUUGCUCGUGCCUUUGCUUGACAGUGCUUUCCUUUCCUGUGUUCUCUGGUCAGGAUUUCAGGGACUUUUAUUUUUCGAUUCCUAAUGAUGUGUGUGGGUGAAAAAGAACAAGAAAAAUUAUGAAAAAAUAAAGAAAAACGUAUAAUUGCCAUGAUAGUAACCAACAGCACACCAGUGGUUUAUUCAUACUGUCGAGCCGUCAGACUGACAGCUGAUGGUCCAUUACUGUAUCCUGAGGAGUAAAAUAAUUCAUUUAAAUGUCUAUAUCCAAUGAAAAAAAAAAAAUAUAUAUAUAAGAGUUAUCUCAAUCCAAAUGGACCAUUAUGUGGCCCCAUUAUCAUUUAAUCCCCCCCCCCCAAAAAAA